CGAGGGGAGUGAAAAAGAACCUGAAACCGUGUACGUACAAGCAGUGGGAGCACGCUUAGGCGUGUGACUGCGUACCUUUUGUAUAAUGGGUCAGCGACUUAUAUUCUGUAGCAAGGUUAACCGAAUAGGGGAGCCGAAGGGAAACCGAGUCUUAACUGGGCGUUAAGUUGCAGGGUAUAGACCCGAAACCCGGUGAUCUAGCCAUGGGCAGGUUGAAGGUUGGGUAACACUAACUGGAGGACCGAACCGACUAAUGUUGAAAAAUUAGCGGAUGACUUGUGGCUGGGGGUGAAAGGCCAAUCAAACCGGGAGAUAGCUGGUUCUCCCCGAAAGCUAUUUAGGUAGCGCCUCGUGAAUUCAUCUCCGGGGGUAGAGCACUGUUUCGGCAAGGGGGUCAUCCCGACUUACCAACCCGAUGCAAACUGCGAAUACCGGAGAAUGUUAUCACGGGAGACACACGGCGGGUGCUAACGUCCGUCGUGAAGAGGGAAACAACCCAGACCGCCAGCUAAGGUCCCAAAGUCAUGGUUAAGUGGGAAACGAUGUGGGAAGGCCCAGACAGCCAGGAUGUUGGCUUAGAAGCAGCCAUCAUUUAAAGAAAGCGUAAUAGCUCACUGGUCGAGUCGGCCUGCGCGGAAGAUGUAACGGGGCUAAACCAUGCACCGAAGCUGCGGCAGCGACGCUGAUGCGUUGUUGGGUAGGGGAGCGUUCUGUAAGCCUGCGAAGGUGUGCUGUGAGGCAUGCUGGAG
Molecule: ribosomal RNA, 749 nt
Filed under: Escherichia coli
Lineage: Bacteria; Pseudomonadati; Pseudomonadota; Gammaproteobacteria; Enterobacterales; Enterobacteriaceae
Description: partial 23S ribosomal RNA
Rfam family: Bacterial large subunit ribosomal RNA
Source: RNAcentral